AUUCGUGAUCAGCAUGCAGUCGAGGAGAUCUUGUAUUGCUUUAAUUUAGUGGCGGACGGGUUAUAACACGUGAAACCUACUUUAACAGGAAUACCCAUGAAACGUGGAUUAAUGCCUGAUAUCUCUACGGAGUAAAUGAUGCCUUCGGGUGUCGCUAAAGGAUGGGCUCGCGGCCUAUCACUUGUUGGUGAGGUAAGGCUCACCAGGCGACACGGGUAGCUGGUCUGAGAGGACAUCACACACUGGAACUGAACACGGCCAACCCUACGGGGGCAGCAGUCGGGAAUCUUCACAAUGGAGGCAACUCUGAUGGUGCAACGCCGCGGGAGGAUGACGGCCUAGGAUUGUAAACUCCUGUCAUUGGGGAGUAAGACUUAUGCGUUAAUAGCGUGUAAGUUUGAUAGUACCCAAAGAGGAAGGGACGGCUAACUUCGUGCCAGCAGCCGCGGUAAUACGAAGGUCCCAAGCGUUGUUCGGAAUCACUGGGCGUAAAGCGUGUGUAGGCUGCGCGAAAGUCAAUGUGAAAGCCCGGGGCUCAACCUCGGAACUGCAUUCGAUACUCCCGUGCUAGAGUAAUGGAGAGGUAAGUGGAAUUCCCGGUGUAGCAGUGAAAUGCGUGGAUAUCGGGAGGAACAUCAAUGGCGAAGGCAACUUACUGGACAUUUACUGACGCUCAGACACGAAGGCUAGGGGAGCGAAAGGGAUUAGAUACCCCUGUAGUCCUAGCAGUAAACGGUGCUCGCUUGGUGUGGAGGAUUCGACCCCUUCUGUGCCGGAGCUAACGCGUUAAGCGACCGCCUGGGAAGUACGGUCGCAAGACUAAAACUCAAAGAAAUUGACGGGGACCCGCACAAGCGGUGGAGUAUGUGGCUUAAUUUCGAUGCAACGCGAAGAACUUACCAGUUGACUGCUUGUCGUACUCUCCCGAAAAGGAGAGUCACUUCGGGCAUGCACGGCUGCAUCGUCAGCUCGUGUCGUGAGAUGUUUUAUCGCAAGCGCCACCCACUGGCCGUAAGGAACUCUGACUGCCAGUCACUGUGAAGAACCACAG
This 1051-nucleotide ribosomal RNA is filed under the name uncultured Verrucomicrobiota bacterium. RNAcentral's name for it is "bacterial SSU rRNA". It matches the Rfam family "Bacterial small subunit ribosomal RNA", at positions 44 to 1157 of the family's 1533-position model. Lineage: Bacteria; Pseudomonadati; Verrucomicrobiota. The record is from RNAcentral.